This 373-nucleotide ribosomal RNA is filed under the name uncultured bacterium. RNAcentral describes it as "bacterial SSU rRNA". It matches the Rfam family "Bacterial small subunit ribosomal RNA", at positions 523 to 898 of the family's 1533-position model. The record is from RNAcentral.
ACACGUAGGGGGCGAGCGUUGUUCGGAAUUACUGGGCGUAAAGGGCAUGUAGGCGGUUUGGUAAGCCCGGCGUGAAAUACUGCAGCUUAACUGCAGGGGUGCGUUGGGAACUGCUGAGCUUGAGUGACGGAGAGGGAGCUAGAAUUCCUGGUGUAGGGGUGAAAUCUGUAGAUAUCAGGAAGAAUACCGAUGGCGAAGGCAAGCUCCUGGCCGAUGACUGACGCUGAGGUGCGAAAGUGUGGGGAUCAAACAGGAUUAGAUACCCUGGUAGUCCACACGGUAAACGAUGUGCACUAGGUGCUGGUGCGGUAGUAUCAGUGCCGGAGCGAACGUGGUAAGUGCACCGCCUGGGGAGUAUGCCCGCAGGGGUGAA